GUUCCUGGUAUUAAAGUGUUCAUUUCUUCAACAGCAACAGCCAUACUCCAAGAAAAAAGGUGCCAUCUUUCCAAGCCUUAUCUCCCAUAGUAACAACCAACAGUGAGGAGUUCAACGUCAACAGCAAAAGGCAGAGCCCAGGAUGCCUCUCUACUUGGAGGGUGCUGACUGAAAACUUAGCUUUGCCCUCCCAAUAAACCAGCUCAUUUUGGAGCACGGCGCUUCCUUCGGUUUGCCUUUGUCCAAAGAGAGGAUUUUUUCAAUUAGGGUAAGUGCUGCGUUAUCUGGUUGACUGCAUCACUCUGAAUGUUCUGCAUUGAAAGUUCCCAAUGAGUAAACUGACAUUCUGCACUGCAGCAGCUCAGACAGUUUGUGGUGUCAGGAGGAGAAAAGGAGCAGGGGAGGAG
RNAcentral lists this long non-coding RNA (407 nucleotides) under Pogona vitticeps (central bearded dragon). Its description in RNAcentral is "lncRNA (ENSPVIG00000020782.1)". The record is from RNAcentral. Lineage: Eukaryota; Metazoa; Chordata; Lepidosauria; Squamata; Agamidae.